UGGGCGUUAAGUUGCAGGGUAUAGACCCGAAACCCGGUGAUCUAGCCAUGGGCAGGUUGAAGGUUGGGUAACACUAACUGGAGGACCGAACCGACUAAUGUUGAAAAAUUAGCGGAUGACCUGUGGCUGGGGGUGAAAGGCCAAUCAAACCGGGAGAUAGCUGGUUCUCCCCGAAAGCUAUUUAGGUAGCGCCUCGUGAAUUCAUCUCCGGGGGUAGAGCACUGUUUCGGCUAGGGGGCCAUCCCGGCUUACCAACCCGAUGCAAACUGCGAAUACCGGAGAAUGUUAUCACGGGAGACACACGGCGGGUGCUAACGUCCGUCGUGAAGAGGGAAACAACCCAGACCGCCAGCUAAGGUCCCAAAGUCAUGGUUAAGUGGGAAACGAUGUGGGAAGGCCCAGACAGCCAGGAUGUUGGCUUAGAAGCAGCCAUCAUUUAAAGAAAGCGUAAUAGCUCACUGGUCGAGUCGGCCUGCGCGGAAGAUGUAACGGGGCUAAACCAUGCACCGAAGCUGCGGCAGCGAACGUAUCACUUAAAGCGAUUCAGCGGGUUACGAUUGACGGAGCGAAGCGACGUCAAAGCGUAUACAAAGUCGAGUUGGCUUAGGGAUACGUUCGUUGGGUAGGGGAGCGUUCUGUUGCUGGAGGUAUCAGAAGUGCGAAUGCUGACAUAAGUAACGAUAAAGCGGGUGAAAAGCCCGCUCGCCGGAAGACCAAGGGUUCCUGUCCAACGUUAAUCGGGGCAGGGUGAGUCGACCCCUAAGGCGAGGCCGAAAGGCGUAGUCGAUGGGAAACGGGUUAAUAUUCCCGUACUUGGUGUUACUGCGAAGGGGGGACGGAGAAGGCUAUGUUGGCCGGGCGACGGUUGUCCCGGUUUAAGCGUGUAGGUGUGUGUUCCAGGUAAAUCCGGUUCACUUUAACACUGAGGCGUGACGACGAGGCACUACGGUGCUGAAGCAACAAAUGCCCUGCUUCCAGGAAAAGCCUCUAAGCAUCAGGUAACAUCAAAUCGUACCCCAAACCGACACAGGUGGUCAGGUAGAGAAUACCAAGGCGCUUGAGAGAACUCGGGUGAAGGAACUAGGCAAAAUGGUGCCGUAACUUCGGGAGAAGGCACGCUGACACGUAGGUGAAGUGAUUUACUCACGGAGCUGAAGUCAGUCGAAGAUACCAGCUGGCUGCAACUGUUUAUUAAAAACACAGCACUGUGCAAACACGAAAGUGGACGUAUACGGUGUGACGCCUGCCCGGUGCCGGAAGGUUAAUUGAUGGGGUCAGCGCAAGCGAAGCUCCUGAUCGAAGCCCCGGUAAACGGCGGCCGUAACUAUAACGGUCCUAAGGUAGCGAAAUUCCUUGUCGGGUAAGUUCCGACCUGCACGAAUGGCGUAAUGAUGGCCAGGCUGUCUCCACCCGAGACUCAGUGAAAUUGAACUCGCUGUGAAGAUGCAGUGUACCCGCGGCAAGACGGAAAGACCCCGUGAACCUUUACUAUAGCUUGACACUGAACAUUGAGCCUUGAUGUGUAGGAUAGGUGGGAGGCUUUGAAGCGUGGACGCCAGUCUGCGUGGAGCCGACCUUGAAAUACCACCCUUUAAUGUUUGAUGUUCUAACGUGGACCCGUAAUCCGGGUUGCGGACAGUGUCUGGUGGGUAGUUUGACUGGGGCGGUCUCCUCCUAAAGAGUAACGGAGGAGCACGAAGGUUGGCUAAUCCUGGUCGGACAUCAGGAGGUUAGUGCAAUGGCAUAAGCCAGCUUGACUGCGAGCGUGACGGCGCGAGCAGGUGCGAAAGCAGGUCAUAGUGAUCCGGUGGUUCUGAAUGGAAGGGCCAUCGCUCAACGGAUAAAAGGUACUCCGGGGAUAACAGGCUGAUACCGCCCAAGAGUUCAUAUCGACGGCGGUGUUUGGCACCUCGAUGUCGGCUCAUCACAUCCUGGGGCUGAAGUAGGUCCCAAGGGUAUGGCUGUUCGCCAUUUAAAGUGGUACGCGAGCUGGGUUUAGAACGUCGUGAGACAGUUCGGUCCCUAUCUGCCGUGGGCGCUGGAGAACUGAGGGGGGCUGCUCCUAGUACGAGAGGACCGGAGUGGACGCAUCACUGGUGUUCGGGUUGUCAUGCCAAUGGCACUGCCCGGUAGCUAAAUGCGGAAGAGAUAAGUGCUGAAAGCAUCUAAGCACGAAACUUGCCCCGAGAUGAGUUCU
This 2197-nucleotide ribosomal RNA is filed under the name Salmonella enterica subsp. enterica serovar Heidelberg. RNAcentral's name for it is "bacterial LSU rRNA". It matches the Rfam family "Bacterial large subunit ribosomal RNA", at positions 689 to 2812 of the family's 2925-position model. Lineage: Bacteria; Pseudomonadati; Pseudomonadota; Gammaproteobacteria; Enterobacterales; Enterobacteriaceae. The record is from RNAcentral.